AGCCAUUCCUCAUUAUGUAUUUCUUUUCUAUUUUCCUAUACUUACUAACAUGGUAUUAGUCGCCUGAGCUCCUAUUGCUUCUUCUCGCUGCUAACUCAUGGUUCAUUCCGCUGAUUUUACCGCUGCUAAUCGUGGCAAUCCUUCCUUUUCCAGAUCGCGCUUAAUUCAGACGUUCCCUCUUCAUGAUAUAAUAAAGUUAGAUGAUGGUGCAGAAGGGUAUGAGUUGCUCGGUUUCUCGAAGGGACCUUACCUGUGCCGCCCCAUUUCAUCUCCUCUCUAGAUGGAGUUUUGAC
RNAcentral lists this long non-coding RNA (293 nucleotides) under Gossypium barbadense (sea-island cotton). RNAcentral describes it as "long non-coding RNA (GBAR_LNC009918)". Lineage: Eukaryota; Viridiplantae; Streptophyta; Magnoliopsida; Malvales; Malvaceae. The record is from RNAcentral.